RNAcentral lists this ribosomal RNA (490 nucleotides) under uncultured bacterium. RNAcentral's name for it is "partial 16S ribosomal RNA". It matches the Rfam family "Bacterial small subunit ribosomal RNA", at positions 29 to 507 of the family's 1533-position model. The record is from RNAcentral.
AGUGAACGCUGGCGGUAGGCCUAACACAUGCAAGUCGAACGGCAGCACAGGAGAGCUUGCUCUCUAGGUGGCGAGUGGCGGACGGGUGAGGAAUACAUCGGAAUCUGCCCAGUCGUGGGGGAUAACGUAGGGAAACUUACGCUAAUACCGCAUACGACCUUCGGGUGAAAGAGGGGGAUCGCAAGACCUCUCGCGAUUGGAUGAGCCGAUGUCGGAUUAGCUAGUUAGCGGGGUAAUGGCCCACCAAGGCGACGAUCCGUAGCUGGUCUGAGAGGAUGAUCAGCCACACUGGAACUGAGACACGGUCCAGACUCCUACGGGAGGCAGCAGUGGGGAAUAUUGGACAAUGGGCGCAAGCCUGAUCCAGCCAUACCGCGUGGGUGAAGAAGGCCUUCGGGUUGUAAAGCCCUUUUGUUGGGAAAGAAGUCUUUCAGGCUAAUACCCUGGGAGGAUGACGGUACCCAAAGAAUAAGCACCGGCUAACUUCGUG